This 793-nucleotide ribosomal RNA is filed under the name uncultured Gammaproteobacteria bacterium. RNAcentral describes it as "bacterial SSU rRNA". It matches the Rfam family "Bacterial small subunit ribosomal RNA", at positions 8 to 791 of the family's 1533-position model. The record is from RNAcentral. Lineage: Bacteria; Pseudomonadati; Pseudomonadota; Gammaproteobacteria.
AGAGUUUGAUCCUGGCUCAGAUUGAACGCUAGCGGCAUGCUUAACACAUGCAAGUCGAACGGAAACGAUAGAAGCUUGCUUCUGACGUCGAGUGGCGGACGGGUGCGUAAUGCGUAGGAAUCUACCUUAUAGUGGGGGAUAACUUAGGGAAACUUAAGAUAAUACCGCAUAAUCCUUACUGGGAAAGAGGGCCUCUUCUUGAAAGCUCUUGCUAUUAGAUGAGCCUGCGACAGAUUAGCUAGUUGGUGAGGUAAUGGCUCACCAAGGCAACGAUCUGUAGCUGGUCUUAGAGGAUGAUCAGCCACACUGGGACUGAGACACGGCCCAGACUCCUACGGGAGGCAGCAGUGGGGAAUAUUGGACAAUGGGGGGAACCCUGAUCCAGCAAUGCCGCGUGUGUGAAGAAGGCCUGAGGGUUGUAAAGCACCUUCAAUAGGGAGGAUUGAAUUCGUUAUUAAUAAUUUCGUUUUUCGACGUUACCUAUAGAAGAAGCACCGGCUAACUCCGUGCCAGCAGCCGCGGUAAUACGGAGGGUGCAAGCGUUAAUCGGAAUUACUGGGCGUAAAGCGCGCGUAGGUGGUUAGGUCAGUUAUAUGUGAAAGUCCUGAGCUUAACUUAGGAAUUGCAUAUAAUACUGCCUGACUAGAGUAUAGUAGAGGAAAGUGGAAUUCCGCAUGUAGCGGUGAAAUGCGUAGAUAUGCGGAAGAACAUCAGUGGCGAAGGCGACUUUCUGGACUAAUACUGACACUAAGGUGCGAAAGCGUGGGGAGCGAACAGGAUUAGAUACCCUGGU